Molecule: ribosomal RNA, 460 nt
Filed under: uncultured bacterium
Lineage: Bacteria
Description: partial 16S ribosomal RNA
Rfam family: Bacterial small subunit ribosomal RNA
Source: RNAcentral
CCUACGGGCGGCAGCAGUGAGGAAUAUUGGUCAAUGGGCGCGAGCCUGAACCAGCCAAGUAGCGUGAAGGAUGACUGCCCUACGGGUUGUAAACUUCUUUUAUAAAGGAAUAAAGUGAGGCACGUGUGCCUUUUUGUAUGUACUUUAUGAAUAAGGAUCGGCUAACUCCGUGCCAGCAGCCGCGGUAAUACGGAGGAUCCGAGCGUUAUCCGGAUUUAUUGGGUUUAAAGGGAGCGUAGGUGGGUUGUUAAGUCAGUUGUGAAAGUUUGCGGCUCAACCGUAAAAUUGCAGUUGAUACUGGCAGUCUGGAGUACAGUAGAGGUAGGCGGAAUGCGUGGUGUAGCGGUGAAAUGCUUAGAUAUCACGAAGAACUCCGAUUGCGAAGGCAGCUGACUGGACUGCAACUGACGUUGAGGCUCGAAAGUGUGGGUAGCAAACAGGAUUAGAUACCCCGGUAGUC